Molecule: long non-coding RNA, 614 nt
Filed under: Vigna radiata
Lineage: Eukaryota; Viridiplantae; Streptophyta; Magnoliopsida; Fabales; Fabaceae
Description: long non-coding RNA (VRAD_LNC016610)
Source: RNAcentral
GCUCACUUGCUCUUUACGGAAAUGCUAGCCCACCUACAAAUAAUCAAUUUAUGAUGAAGAACAAUUUCUUAGACUUCACUUGAGUCAAGAAUUUGGGAAAAAUAGCUGUUAAACACAUGCAAGGGCANAACUUUGCAUGAUCACAACUAACAGAAACGCGGAGAGAUUUAGGGGAAACUUACCAGAUGGAGAACAACCAAAUGAUCGGUUGAAAUGAAGCCCACAACUCUAGAAUCUCCUAAGUAUUCACUGAUUGUGGAAUAAAUGGGUCAGUUGAGGAAGAAAUCUAGAGAGAAGAAUGGUUNGGGANAGGGCAAGGUUACAAAGAUGUUUUGGAGGAGGAUGCACGUUUCUGAAGUGUCUUAAUAAGCUGUUGUGAGUUUUUAUUUUUCUAAAACUUAAAUUUUAUUAUUUUAAUAUAAUUAAAAAUUUUACUUUUAAUUUAAGGGUUAUUACAUAAUCUAUCAUAUAUAUUCAUCUUAAAAAAAAAUGUGUAUAAUGUUAUUGUAAAUAAGGUGUAAUGUUGUUUUGUAUUAGAAAAUACUUAUAAAUUUUUAACAAUAAUACAAAUAUAGCUAAGAUAAAAAAUAGAAUUAAUUAAUAAUGUUUCUUGG